AACGGCUGGCGGCGUGCCUAAUACAUGCAAGUCGAACGGUCUUUCUAUGGAAGCUUGCUUCCACUGAAAAGAUAGUGGCGAACGGGUGAGUAACACGUGGGUAACCUGCCCAUAAGAGGGGGGAUAACAUCCGGAAACGGGUGCUAAUACCGCAUAGUUUUCUUGAUCGCAUGAUUGAGAAAGGAAAGACGGCCUUUGUGCUGUCGCUUAUGGAUGGACCCGCGGCGUAUUAGUUAGUUGGUGAGGUAACGGCUCACCAAGACGAUGAUACGUAGCCGACCUGAGAGGGUGAUCGGCCACAUUGGGACUGAGACACGGCCCAAACUCCUACGGGAGGCAGCAGUAGGGAAUCUUCCGCAAUGGACGAAAGUCUGACGGAGCAACGCCGCGUGAGUGAAGAAAGGUUUUCGGAUCGUAAAACUCUGUUGUCAGAGAAGAACAAGUUGGAGAGUAACUGCUCCAGCCUUGACGGUAUCUGACCAGAAAGCCACGGCUAACUACGUGCCAGCCGCUGC
RNAcentral lists this ribosomal RNA (515 nucleotides) under uncultured bacterium. Its description in RNAcentral is "bacterial SSU rRNA". It matches the Rfam family "Bacterial small subunit ribosomal RNA", at positions 35 to 518 of the family's 1533-position model. The record is from RNAcentral.